UGAGGGAUCGUCUAACGGCAGGACGACGGGUUCUGGCCCCGUUAAUCCAGGUUCGAAUCCUGGUCUCUCAGCCA
This 74-nucleotide transfer RNA is filed under the name Candidatus Magnetomorum sp. HK-1. RNAcentral's name for it is "tRNA-Gln". It matches the Rfam family "tRNA". Rfam says of the family: Transfer RNA (tRNA) molecules are approximately 80 nucleotides in length. Lineage: Bacteria; Pseudomonadati; Thermodesulfobacteriota; Desulfobacteria; Desulfobacterales; Candidatus Magnetomoraceae. The record is from RNAcentral. RNAcentral also lists the same sequence under 1 other name.